RNAcentral lists this ribosomal RNA (319 nucleotides) under uncultured eukaryote. Its description in RNAcentral is "partial 18S ribosomal RNA". It matches the Rfam family "Eukaryotic small subunit ribosomal RNA", at positions 1470 to 1796 of the family's 1831-position model. The record is from RNAcentral.
CCCUUAGAUGUUCUGGGCAGCACGCGCGCUACAAUGGUCUUCGCAAACGGAUGCAUUCUCGAAGGAGAAUGCCAAUCUUGGAAUCUAUGCCUUGGUCGGGACAGUUGCUUGCAAUUUUUCGACUCGAACCAGGAAUUCCUUGUAAUCGUGAUUCAUCACAUCACGAUGAAUACGUCCCUGCCCUUUGUACACACCGCCCGUCGCUCCUACCGAUCGAAGAGUUAGGUGAAUUGUUUUGAUCGAUAAGAUUUGACUAUGGUCAACUCUCGUUGUGAAAUUCUGUGAAUCUGCCUGUUUAGAGGAAGGAAAAGUCGUAACA